GCAUUAGUGGUGUAAUGGUUAACAUAUGGUCUUCCCAUCAUUCUGUCAGAGCAUCUGUUGGCCGCGUUCGGGGUUCGCCUCCCCGUUGAUGCA
RNAcentral lists this transfer RNA (93 nucleotides) under Armillaria luteobubalina. Its description in RNAcentral is "tRNA-Gly". Lineage: Eukaryota; Fungi; Basidiomycota; Agaricomycetes; Agaricales; Physalacriaceae. The record is from RNAcentral.